UUGCCUUUCCCUAUUCCCUAUUCUUCACUUCGCGUCAUUACCGGCGGUGUGCCUUCUGCAAGUCUUCAUCUUCCAACUUGUAAAUUCCAGAGGAGCAGUACGGCAGUCGCGCCACCUCUCCCAGCACUGGCUCCGUCGUCGGUGAGGAUUCUUCGGACUCGAACUUGGAUUCAAUGAAGAACCAACUUCCUAAUCGUCUGUCAAGUCAAAAUUAGCCGUGUCCGCCACAUAUCCCAUACCCGUACACGGGUACUCCAGCCGAAGUGAAGAGUCCGAGCGUCACAGCCCCUAAAUUAAAACCCUCAAAACUUUCAUUGUAGCCAAACAGCCUGAAUCAGCGUCUCCAUUCUUCAACUUGAACUUCAAUUGGUUUCAGUUUCGGACGUUAAAAUUUAUUUCUAUUUAUCUUAUUCACUGUUUCAUGCUAACAAAUAGAUUGACAAUGAAGACGUCGAAGAAUAAAAAGCAGCACAAAGAAGAGGGGCCUGAAAAUAUAAAUGGGACUUUAAGAAUAAUAGAACAGCAAUUAGACCAAGCAGCUGAUAAGUACGAAGAUUCUUCCUCCGAUUAUGAUUUUGAAGCUGUUGAAAAUGAGGUAAUUACUGCUUAAUUCCAAAAUAUUUUAUUUAGGACUCUAUUUAUGUUCUUGGUGCAAAUAAAUGAC
RNAcentral lists this long non-coding RNA (664 nucleotides) under Olea europaea (common olive). Its description in RNAcentral is "long non-coding RNA (OEUR_LNC012093)". Lineage: Eukaryota; Viridiplantae; Streptophyta; Magnoliopsida; Lamiales; Oleaceae. The record is from RNAcentral.